This 301-nucleotide ribosomal RNA is filed under the name uncultured bacterium. Its description in RNAcentral is "partial 16S ribosomal RNA". It matches the Rfam family "Bacterial small subunit ribosomal RNA", at positions 509 to 807 of the family's 1533-position model. The record is from RNAcentral.
CAGCCGCCACGGUAAUAUGAGGGGGGCAAGCGUUGUUCGGAAUUAUUGGGCGUAAAGGGUGCGUAGGCGGUUUGACAAGUCUUAUGUGAAAUCUCUGGGCUCAACCCAGAGUCUGCAUGGGAAACUGUCGAGCUUGAGUAUGGGAGAGGUGAGUGGAAUUUCCGGUGUAGCGGUGAAAUGCGUAGAUAUCGGAAGGAACACCUGUGGCGAAAGCGGCUCACUGGACCAUUACUGACGCUGAUGCACGAAAGCUAGGGGAGCAAACAGGAUUAGAUACCCCCGUAGUCCCUGUCUCUUAUAC